GACGAACGCUGGCGGCGUGCUUAACACAUGCAAGUCGAACGGAAAGGCCCUGCUUUUGUGGGGUGCUCGAGUGGCGAACGGGUGAGUAACACGUGAGUAACCUGCCCUUGACUUUGGGAUAACUUCAGGGAAAUGGGGCUAAUACCGGAUAGGAGAUACUGCUGCACGGGGGGGGUUGGAAAGUUUCGGCGGUUGGGGAUGGAAUCGCGGCUUAUCAGCUUGUUGGUGGGGUAGUGGAUUACCAAGGCUUUGACGGGUAGCCGGCCUGAGAGGGUGACCGGCCACAUUGCUACUGAGGUACGGCCCAGACGCCUACGGGAGGCAGCAGUGGGGAAUAUUGCACAGUGGGCGGAAGCCUGAUGCAGCAACGCCGCGUGCGGGAUGACGGCCUUCGAGUUGUAAACCGCUUUCGCCUGUGACGAAGCGUGAGUGACGGUAAUGGGUAAAAAAGCACCGGCUAACUACGUG
Molecule: ribosomal RNA, 468 nt
Filed under: uncultured bacterium
Lineage: Bacteria
Description: partial 16S ribosomal RNA
Rfam family: Bacterial small subunit ribosomal RNA
Source: RNAcentral